GACGAGCGCUGGCGGCGUGCUUAACACAUGCAAGUCGAACGGAAAGGCCCUGCUUUUGUGGGGUGCUCGAGUGGCGAACGGGUGAGUAACACGUGAGUAACCUGCCCUUGACUUUGGGAUAACUUCAGGAAACUGGGGCUAAUACCGGAUAGGAGCUCCUGCUGCAUGGUGGGGGUUGGAAAGUUUCGGCGGUUGGGGACGGACUCGCGGCUUAUCAGCUUGUUGGUGGGGUAGUGGCUUACCAAGGCUUUGACGGGUAGCCGGCCUGAGAGGGUGACCGGCCACAUUGGGACUGAGAUACGGCCCAGACUCCUACGGGAGGCAGCAGUGGGGAAUAUUGCACAAUGGGCGGAAGCCUGAUGCAGCAACGCCGCGUGCGGGAUGACGGCCUUCGGGUUGUAAACCGCUUUCGCCUGUGACGAAGCGUGAGUGACGGUAAUGGGUAAAGAAGCACCGGCUAACUACGUGCCAGCAGCCGCGGUGAUACGUAGGGUGCGAGCGUUGUCCGGAUUUAUUGGGCGUAAAGGGCUCGUAGGUGGUUGAUCGCGUCGGAAGUGUAAUCUUGGGGCUUAACCCUGAGCGUGCUUUCGAUACGGGUUGACUUGAGGAAGGUAGGGGAGAAUGGAAUUCCUGGUGGAGCGGUGGAAUGCGCAGAUAUCAGGAGGAACACCAGUGGCGAAGGCGGUUCUCUGGGCCUUUCCUGACGCUGAGGAGCGAAAGCGUGGGGAGCGAACAGGCUUAGAUACCCUGGUAGUCCACGCUGUAAACGGUGGGUACUAGGUGUGGGGUCCAUUCCACGGGUUCCGUGCCGUAGCUAACGCUUUAAGUACCCCGCCUGGGGAGUACGGCCGCAAGGCUAAAACUCAAAGGAAUCGACGGGGCCCCGCACAAGCGGCGGAGCAUGCGGAUUAAUUCGAUGCAACGCGUAGAACCUUACCUGGGUUUGACAUGGAUCGGGAGCGCUCAGAGAUGGGUGUGCCUCUUUUGGGGUCGGUUCACAGGUGGUGCAUGGCUGUCGUCAGCUCGUGUCGUGAGAUGUUGGGUUAAGUCCCGCAACGAGCGCAACCCUUGUUCACUGUUGCCAGCACGUUAUGGUGGGGACUCAGUGGAGACCGCCGGGGUCAACUCGGAGGAAGGUGGGGAUGACGUCAAGUCAUCAUGCCCCUUAUGUCCAGGGCUUCACGCAUGCUACAAUGGCUGGUACAGAGAGUGGCGAGCCUGUGAGGGUGAGCGAAUCUCGGAAAGCCGGUCUCAGUUCGGAUUGGGGUCUGCAACUCGACCUCAUGAAGUCGGAGUCGCUAGUAAUCGCAGAUCAGCAACGCUGCGGUGAAUACGUUCCCGGGGCU
RNAcentral lists this ribosomal RNA (1346 nucleotides) under uncultured bacterium. RNAcentral's name for it is "bacterial SSU rRNA". It matches the Rfam family "Bacterial small subunit ribosomal RNA", at positions 28 to 1381 of the family's 1533-position model. The record is from RNAcentral.